AUUGAACGCUGGCGGAAUGCUUUACACAUGCAAGUCGAACGGCAGCACGGACUUCGGUCUGGUGGCGAGUGGCGAACGGGUGAGUAAUGUAUCGGAACGUGCCCAGUCGUGGGGGAUAACGUAGUGAAAAUUACGCUAAUACCGCAUACGAUCUAUGGAUGAAAGCGGGGGAUCGCAAGACCUCGCGCGAUUGGAGCGGCCGAUAUCAGAUUAGGUAGUUGGUGGGGUAAAGGCCCACCAAGCCAACGAUCUGUAGCUGGUCUGAGAGGACGACCGGCCACACGGGAACUGAGACACGGUCCAGACUCCUAGGGGAGGCGGCAGUGGGGAAUUUUGGACAAUGGGCGAAAGCCUGAUCCAGCCAUUCCGCGUGCAGGAUGAAGGCCCUCGGGUUGUAAACUGCUUUUGUACAGAACGAAAAGGUUUCUACUAAUACUAGGAGCUCAUGACGGUACUGUAAGAAUAAGCACCGGCUAACUACGCGCCAGCAGCAGCCGCCG
This 500-nucleotide ribosomal RNA is filed under the name uncultured bacterium. RNAcentral's name for it is "partial 16S ribosomal RNA". It matches the Rfam family "Bacterial small subunit ribosomal RNA", at positions 30 to 523 of the family's 1533-position model. The record is from RNAcentral.